RNAcentral lists this long non-coding RNA (241 nucleotides) under Manihot esculenta (cassava). Its description in RNAcentral is "long non-coding RNA (MESC_LNC001490)". The record is from RNAcentral. Lineage: Eukaryota; Viridiplantae; Streptophyta; Magnoliopsida; Malpighiales; Euphorbiaceae.
GAUCUACACUUACCUCUUGAAGAUCGAGAGGCUAGGUGAUCCUAACGUGGAGAUAUGGAGCAACUCUCUCUCAAAGUCUCCAAGCUUCAAAACUUUGGUUUUUAGCUCAAAAGCUUCAAACAACAUGAAAACUUAUCAAAACUUUGAAAGAUUUGGAGAAAACAUGAAGAUCACCCAAGGAAGAUCAUGGUCUCACCUCUGUCCGUGGAAAUGGAAAGAAAAAUCUUAUCCAUUCACCGAC